Molecule: unclassified non-coding RNA, 200 nt
Filed under: soil metagenome
Description: partial internal transcribed spacer 2
Source: RNAcentral
UUAAGUCCAACGGGUAGUCUUGCUUGAUUUGAGAUCUAGUUUACAGAUCGCUUGCGCGACAUGUUAAAUCCUGCAUCAUUCAGCCAUCGCGACUCUUCAACCUUUAUGUUAGCUACAGCAAAAGUAAUAAUCCAUUUGACGGGAUUAAACAAGUAUGCUUAUAGCUCAGAAGAAAGAAUCAAGCUGCACCUGCAUUUCAA